AGGAGAGAGGAGAGAGAGAGAGAGAGAUUGUCGCAGCUGAGGCUUGGAACACUCCUCGGUACAUGGUACAACAACGAAUGCGUGUGGCUGUCACUUCAUUGGAAUGGAUUGUGGAAUAUCUUGUGUUAACCCUUGCCUGGGUAUGUUGUACGGUAACUCCUGCAAGAAGGUAUUUCUGUGACAGGUCACUUUCGCUGAUAACUCGUAUAUGGACGGAUUCAACGGAUAAGAACUUCGUCGACGGUUAUUUUGAAGUAACGGCCUUUUCUCUACGUUUCACACUGGAUUACAAAUAUCUCUCCCCCAUCAUUUAUUCCCAUGAUUACUGAAUUUCCUACUUUACCAUCUCAAGACUCUAAGCUGUGUUCCCUCAGGCUCGAUAGUUUGGGAGUUAUAUUUACAUAUAUACACACAUAACACUGUUAAGUUUCCUUUAUUUCGUUGUUAUUAUAAGUAGAUCCUAAUAAAGAAGUGGUUUUAACAUCAAAACUAGACUCCAGUGUGCACUCUAUUGCUGCUGGUUCGUUUCUAAAACGUUACAGAUCGUAACACAGCUUCAUAAAACUAGUUAGGCGACAUCUGGAGUAUUUCAUACAGUUCUGGUCGCACCCAUUCUCGGAAGGAUGUCGGGGCUUUGGAGAGGGCGCAGAAGAGGUUUACCAGGAUACUGCCUGGAUGAGAGGCAUGAGCUAUAACGAGAGAAUGAACAAACGUGUUGUUUACUCCAGAGCAGCGCAGGCUGGGGUGAGACUGGAUGGGGCGUUUAUAAGGUUACCAGAGGAAUAGAUAGAGUGGACGGAUGAUAUAUUUUUCCUGGUGGUUCAAAUGUCUAAUACAUUUAGGGUGAGAGGAGAUGUGAGUGGCAAGUAAUGGAUAGCUGGAUAUAUGAUAUAUAUAAUGAUAUAUAUAAGGAUAGCCCGGGGGGGGGGAGGUCACGUGAUACAAUUUGCCCCUCCCAUUUAACUGCCGAUGAGCAGCAUCUGUGCGUCGCUUCCGAGGCCCCGCCCUCCGGAUGAUGCGCCAAUCACUUUGCGCAUGCUCACAGUCUCCAGGCGGGCGCCGUUCCGCGGAUUCGGGAUCACUGUCUGCGGGCCGAAGAUAUCACUUUCCCACCGUUAGACCUGGGGUGAGAGAUUUAUUGGAAGAAAAAACCUCAAUGGAACUAAACCACGACUGAAGAUGAGGGAACUGCAACAAGUGAACCAGCCCGAGGAUUGUGAGCAUUAACUGGAGAGAAACCAUCUGACUUGUAGAUUCCAGUGAUUCAGUCAGGAGAAAGUUUGGAUACAGGCACGAGUCAGAGCAAACAGCUCAACCUUCUGGACGAGACGGCUGCUUCAAAAGAGUCCUGCUCAAUUACUUCACUGUCGGUUACUAUCGCAUCGCCAGAAUAUUGUUUCCCUGCUGGAUCCACAAAAGGGCUUCCAUUCUCAUAAAAUGUUGCCUUGUGCUUGAGGGGAUAUUGCAGAGUGGAUGAGAGAGUCUGUCCUUCUUUCAUGGUAAUCCAGAUGGGGGGCAGUUUUAGAAAUUAACAAGCAAGGCCAAUUUCAUGGUCUGAAAUUGCGUUCGGUCAAUAUUAAAAAAGUGUCUUACCAGAUGUCCUGUCUUCACCUGAGUCCUUCCAGUAUCAGAGUUGGCAUGCGGCCAAGUCUGACCAGCCUCCCUUGGUGCUGGAGGCUUGUUUCAUCAGGGUGUAGGCAAGGAACCCUAGGCCCUUUGGCAUGAACCCUGGGCAAACCCUCACGGUGGUAUGGGGAACCACCUGUCCUGUCUGCCGCCAAAGGAAAUCCGGAACUUCGGCCAGUAUUGCCGAAUACUCUCUUCCUUUAACCGUUCUAAUGUGACUGGGAACUUUGUCCCUAGAGGGGUGCAUAAUUCUGGCUUUUCUCAAUCCCCCUGAAAUUCCACCUGUAGUGGCUGUGUAUGUGAAUACGUGCGUUCCGUGCCUUCGAACCCAGACAGAGUGAUUGUCAUGUUUGAUAGCUGGAAUCCAUUUUCUGAUAUUACUUCCUGAUUGAGAGUGGUUGUGGUUGCCGGCAUAUCAAUCAUAAACGGAAUUGGAAUUCCAGCAACUUGCAAUGUUCCGUUGGGCUCUUCCUGAGGGGUGGUACUCACGGCAGGAAGCAUUCUUGCUUGUUAAUUUGAAAACGGGUUGUUGUCCCCACCUGUCCCUUGGUAGGUUUUUGUUCCCAUUUCUGAUCCCCAGAUAUAGCCCUCUCGCGUCCUUCUUCCCACUGAACAUCUUCACCUUUAAUAUUAGUUCCCUUCAGGGUUGAUUGGGAUUUGAAAGUCAGGUCCCAACAAUAUGUCAAAGCUCGUCACAUUUGAUUUUGGUCAUUGUCAGGCCAAUCCAUAUUAUUUGUUUUAAUCAUGUUGGCUAACUUAGUUGGUAAGUAUUGGAGCAGCAGGGAGUUAAACUGGGGGGACAGAUUCCCAUCUUUAAAGGCUUGGUCAGAAGUUGUUCAGACCUCAGAUGGAGUCAACAAUCAAAUGGCUGAGCAUGGUGCGAUGAAUGUGCUGAGCUGUGUAUAUUACAAAGCAAGAAGCAUCGUAGGAAAACCAGAUGAGCUCAAGGCAGGGAAUUACGAUAUUGUAGCCAUUAUUGGGACAUUGUGCCCAGUAGUCUGAGGGAUUUAGAGGAACAUAUUUUUAAGGAGAUCGCAGACCAUGACAAGAAACAAAGGUUGAUGCAGUAAGUGAUUUUAACUUUCCAUAUAUUGACUGGGACUCCCAUACCGUAAAUGGACUAGAUGGGGUAAAGUUUGUCAAAUGUGCGCUUAAUCAGUGCGUAGGAUUCCCGACAUAGAAGUGUGCAAUAAGUUGUUAGGAAAUGAUCCAGGGCUGAUGACAGAAAUUAGUGAUCAUAAUGCCAUGAGAUUCAAAAGUAAAUAUGGAAAAAGAGAGGUCUGGACCAUGGAUUGAUAUUCUAAAUUGGAGAAAGGUCAAUUUUGAUGGUAUCAGAAAGGAUCUGACAAGUGUGGUUUGCGACAGGCUGUUUUGUGGCCAAAGAGUACUUGUAAGUGGGAGGCCUUCAGAAGUGAAAUUUUGAGGGUGUUGAGUUUGUAUGUGCCUGUCAAAAUAAAAGUUGAAAGGUAACCAGUGCAGGGAUCCUUGCUUUUCUAGAGAAAUUGAGUCCCUAGGUAUUUGAUUCUCCUAAAUGCCUCAGACUGUUGGGUGCUACCAAGACUCAUUAAUGACUACAAAUCAUAAUUCCAUGCAAGCUCAUCUGACUUUUUUUAGUCAUCUUCUGGUGGUUUCUAAAAGCUUCCCAAUAGUUUUUGCUCUUUUGUUUGCCCUCUCUUUGUUUUUUUAUGAUGGCUUUGGCUUCUCAUUUCAAUCAUUUCAGGUUGUGUCCUCCUACCUUUCCGUUGCUUCCACU
Molecule: long non-coding RNA, 3379 nt
Organism: Hypanus sabinus (Atlantic stingray)
Lineage: Eukaryota; Metazoa; Chordata; Chondrichthyes; Myliobatiformes; Dasyatidae
Exons: 3
Source: RefSeq, a predicted model, not a curated record